CCUACGGGAGGCAGCAGUGGGGAAUAUUGGACAAUGGGGGAAACCCUGAUCCAGCGACGCCGCGUGAGUGAAAAAGUAUUUCGGUACGUAAAGCUCUAUCAGCAGGAAAGAAAAUGACGGUACCUGACUAAGAAGCCCCGGCUAACUACGUGCCAGCAGCCGCGGUAAUCCGUAGGGGGCAAGCGUUAUCCGGAUUUACUGUGUGUACAGGGAGCGUAGACGGCAGCGCAAGUCUGGAGUGAAAUGCCGGGGCGCAACCCCGGAACUGCUCAGGAAACUGUGAAGCUGGAGUGCAGGAGAGGUAAGCGGAAGUCCGGGUGUAGCGGUGAAAUGCGUAGAUAUCAGGAGGAACACUGGCGGCGAAGGCGGCUUACUGGACUGUAACUGACGUUGAGGCUCGAAGGCGUGGGGAGCAAACAGGAUUAGAUACCCGGGUAGUC
Molecule: ribosomal RNA, 440 nt
Filed under: uncultured bacterium
Lineage: Bacteria
Description: partial 16S ribosomal RNA
Rfam family: Bacterial small subunit ribosomal RNA
Source: RNAcentral